UACGGAGGGUGCAAGCGUUAUCCGGAUUCACUGGGUUUAAAGGGUGCGUAGGCGGAUAGGUAAGUCCGUGGUGAAAUCCAUGCAGCUUAACUGCAGAACUGCCAUGGAUAACUAUUUAUCUUGAAUGUCGUGGAGGUUAGCAGAAUAUGUCAUGUAGCGGUGAAAUGCUUAGAUAUGACAUAGAAUACCCAUUGCGAAGGCAGCUAACUACGCGAUAAUUGACGCUGAUGCACGAAAGCGUGGGGAUCAAACAG
Molecule: ribosomal RNA, 254 nt
Filed under: uncultured bacterium
Lineage: Bacteria
Description: partial 16S ribosomal RNA
Rfam family: Bacterial small subunit ribosomal RNA
Source: RNAcentral